CACGUAGGGCGCAAGCGUUGUCCGGAAUUAUUGGGCGUAAAGAGCUCGUAGGCGGUCUGUUACGUCUGCUGUGAAAACCCAGGGCUUAACCCUGGGCUUGCAGUGGAUACGGGCAGACUAGAGGCAGGUAGGGGAGAAUGGAAUUCCCGGUGUAGCGGUGAAAUGCGCAGAUAUCGGGAGGAACACCGGUGGCGAAGGCGGCACGCUGGACCUCUUCUGACGCUGAGGCGCGAAAGCCAGGGGAGCAAACGGG
RNAcentral lists this ribosomal RNA (253 nucleotides) under uncultured bacterium. RNAcentral's name for it is "partial 16S ribosomal RNA". It matches the Rfam family "Bacterial small subunit ribosomal RNA", at positions 524 to 776 of the family's 1533-position model. The record is from RNAcentral.